Molecule: ribosomal RNA, 253 nt
Filed under: uncultured bacterium
Lineage: Bacteria
Description: partial 16S ribosomal RNA
Rfam family: Bacterial small subunit ribosomal RNA
Source: RNAcentral
UACGUAGGGGGCUAGCGUUGUCCGGAAUCAUUGGGCGUAAAGCGCGUGUAGGCGGUCCGGUAAGUCCGCUGUGAAAGUCGGGGGCUCAACCCUCGAAUGCCGGUGGAUACUGUCGGGCUAGAGUGCGGAAGAGGAGAGUGGAAUUCCUGGUGUAGCGGUGAAAUGCGCAGAUAUCAGGAGGAACACCAAUUGCGAAGGCAGCUCGCUGGAACGUUACUGACGCUGAGACGCGAAAGCGUGGGGAGCAAACAGG